UUACUUACUCCGUGAAUCGGAG
Molecule: small nuclear RNA, 22 nt
Filed under: Arabidopsis thaliana (thale cress)
Lineage: Eukaryota; Viridiplantae; Streptophyta; Magnoliopsida; Brassicales; Brassicaceae
Description: snRNA_12859
Source: RNAcentral